GACGAACGCUGGCGGCGUGCUUAACACAUGCCAGUCGAACGGAAAGGCCCUGCUUUUGUGGGGUGCUCGAGUGGCGAACGGGUGAGUAACACGUGAGUAACCUGCCCUUGACUUUGGGAUAACUUCAGGAAACUGGGGCUAAUACCGGAUAGGAGCUCCUGCUGCAUGGUGGGGGUUGGAAAGUUUCGGCGGUUGGGGAUGGACUCGCGGCUUAUCAGCUUGUUGGUGGGGUAGUGGCUUACCAAGGCUUUGACGGGUAGCCGGCCUGAGAGGGUGACCGGCCACAUUGGGACUGAGAUACGGCCCAGACUCCUACGGGAGGCAGCAGUGGGGAAUAUUGCACAAUGGGCGGAAGCCGGAUGCAGCAACGCCGCGUGCGGGAUGACGGCCUUCGGGUUGUAAACCGCUUUCGCCUGUGACGAAGCGUGAGUGACGGUAAUGGGUAAAGAAGCACCGGCUAACUACGU
RNAcentral lists this ribosomal RNA (467 nucleotides) under uncultured bacterium. Its description in RNAcentral is "partial 16S ribosomal RNA". It matches the Rfam family "Bacterial small subunit ribosomal RNA", at positions 28 to 506 of the family's 1533-position model. The record is from RNAcentral.